This 1016-nucleotide ribosomal RNA is filed under the name Grifola frondosa (maitake). The record is from RNAcentral. Lineage: Eukaryota; Fungi; Basidiomycota; Agaricomycetes; Polyporales; Grifolaceae.
UUUAACACCAGUGAUGUCGUAAGGGAGAAUAAUGAUAUUACCUUACUAAUAGUGUUGUCAAAAGUUGGUGCCANAANACUCGGUAAUGCCAAAAACGCAAACGUUAAUCAUCUUAAACAGGCGUAAAGGGUUUGUAGGCUGCUUUUUGUAGUUUUAACUUUAAUAGAUCGAANAUAAAAUUCAUAAAAAGCUAGAAUCAAAUAGAGGUUAAAUUGUAUAAUGCUUANAANAGGGUCNAUAUCCGUAGAUCCUAAGUGGAAUACUCNAGGCGAAAGCCACUUUCCAUUAAUGAUUGACGCUGANAAACGAAGGUUAGGGUAGGAAAUNGGAUGUGCGACUUGAAAAGUCUAAAUACUGUAUUGUACUUAAAGUACAUUAUCAUUCGUCUGGUAAUAGCCCACCUGGAUAUGCCAGAUAUAUUUUUACCAGUAAUGGUCUUGUGUUAAGCUUCNGGGUAAAGUUAAUUAAAGGUUAUCCNNNNNNNNNNNNNNNNNUUAAAGGUAAGAGUGGUAAUCUUAAACCUCAAGUAUUUUUAGAACAUACAGAUGAAAGAGCAGUAAAUUUUUUUAGAAAUUACUUAAAUUUAAAUCCAAAAGUUCAUUNUAGACAAAGAGAUAAUCGAAAACUAACUUAUUCCAUCAAAAUAACUAGUGUAAAAGACUUAAAUAGUAUUAUUCAAUUUUUAGAUAGAACAGAGGGCUUAUUAGGAAACAAAUUAUUUCAAUAUAAUGAAUGGAAAGAUCGAUUUUUUUCUAAAUAAUNUUAAAGGUUUUUUUUAUAUAAUUUCAAUUAUAUGUCCUUAGUAAAUUCUCAAAUUAGUGCUUGAGCCGUAUGCGCUGAAAGGUGCAAGUACGGUUCUUAGGGGGGGAAAGCCCGAGAGGGCCUACCUAUCCCAACUAGAUACCCAGGUACCCCUAUCUGUCAACGAUGAAUGGUAGUCUUUACUUAAAAAAAGUAGAGGCGAAGUUAACACGAUAACCAUUCCGCCUUGUGAGUACGAUUGCAAAAUUGAAAAC